RNAcentral lists this ribosomal RNA (253 nucleotides) under uncultured bacterium. Its description in RNAcentral is "partial 16S ribosomal RNA". It matches the Rfam family "Bacterial small subunit ribosomal RNA", at positions 524 to 776 of the family's 1533-position model. The record is from RNAcentral.
UACGUAGGGAGCAAGCGUUGUUCGGAUUUACUGGGCGUAAAGGGCGCGUAGGCGGCUCAGUAAGUUACUUGUGAAAUCUCUGAGCUUAACUCAGAACGGCCAAGUAAUACUGCAGUGCUAGAGUGCAGAAAGGGCAAUCGGAAUUCUUGGUGUAGCGGUGAAAUGCGUAGAUAUCAAGAGGAACACCUGAGGCGAAGGCGGGUUGCUUGUCUGACACUGACGCUGAGGCGCGAAAGCCAGGGGAGCAAACGGG